CAAAUUUUGGCUUUAAAUACUAGGUCCCACCUGUUGGGUGGGUCAGAUCCCUUGACUGUCUGAACCUGAACUUCUUAAUAGAUGUUGCAUUGGUAAUGAUUUAUUGGUUGAUUAAGAAGAACUACUAGAACGGUCUAAAUCUCUCAUUAAUAAUUUAAUUCUGUUUUGUUUUAUUGAAAAUCUUUGUAAAGUCUUGAGACGUUAUAAAACGAUACUAAUUUUUGAUUCACAACUUCAUUUUCUGUUACUGGCCUGGUUUUAUGCUCAUACUAGACCGUUAUUGUCUAUAAAAUGAUGAAUGCCUUCAAUAAAAAUUAAUUAAGCUU
Molecule: long non-coding RNA, 326 nt
Organism: Bradysia coprophila
Lineage: Eukaryota; Metazoa; Arthropoda; Insecta; Diptera; Sciaridae
Source: RefSeq, a predicted model, not a curated record